Molecule: ribosomal RNA, 671 nt
Filed under: Klebsiella aerogenes
Lineage: Bacteria; Pseudomonadati; Pseudomonadota; Gammaproteobacteria; Enterobacterales; Enterobacteriaceae
Description: bacterial SSU rRNA
Rfam family: Bacterial small subunit ribosomal RNA
Source: RNAcentral
AUGUCGACUUGGAGGUUGUGCCCUGAGGCGUGGCUUCCGGAGCUAACGCGUUAAGUCGACCGCCUGGGAGUACGGCCGCAAGGUUAAAACUCAAAUGAAUUGACGGGGGCCCGCACAAGCGGUGGAGCAUGUGGUUUAAUUCGAUGCAACGCGAAGAACCUUACCUACUCUUGACAUCCAGAGAACUUAGCAGAGAUGCUUUGGUGCCUUCGGGAACUCUGAGACAGGUGCUGCAUGGCUGUCGUCAGCUCGUGUUGUGAAAUGUUGGGUUAAGUCCCGCAACGAGCGCAACCCUUAUCCUUUGUUGCCAGCGGUUCGGCCGGGAACUCAAAGGAGACUGCCAGUGAUAAACUGGAGGAAGGUGGGGAUGACGUCAAGUCAUCAUGGCCCUUACGAGUAGGGCUACACACGUGCUACAAUGGCAUAUACAAAGAGAAGCGACCUCGCGAGAGCAAGCGGACCUCAUAAAGUAUGUCGUAGUCCGGAUUGGAGUCUGCAACUCGACUCCAUGAAGUCGGAAUCGCUAGUAAUCGUAGAUCAGAAUGCUACGGUGAAUACGUUCCCGGGCCUUGUACACACCGCCCGUCACACCAUGGGAGUGGGUUGCAAAAGAAGUAGGUAGCUUAACCUUCGGGAGGGCGCUUACCACUUUGUGAUUCAUGACUGGGGUG